Non-coding RNA from Pelobates cultripes (western spadefoot toad), 267 nucleotides. NCBI's taxonomy places the organism in Eukaryota, Metazoa, Chordata, Amphibia, Anura, Pelobatidae. The record is from the annotation of a GenBank genome assembly.
CAGUCCCGCCGGAAACCGGAACCUGAAAUAUUAGUUCCUGGACCGCGGAGCGCGCUGUGAAGCCGGCCCACGCUCCAAGACAGGUAAGUAAUUAUGGGACAAGGGGAGGGGGAGACACUAUGGGACAAGGGGAGGGGAGGAGACACUAUGGGACAAGGGGAGGGGGACACUAUGGGAGAAAGGGAGGGGAGACACUAUGGGACAAGGGGAGGGGAGGAGACACUAUGGGACAAGGGGAGGGGGGAGACACUAUGGGACAAGGGGAGG